CGGGCUACUACAGAAACUAUAUCAUUUAUAUAAUGAAACAAUGCAAGAUGUAUUUGCUUGACAUUUUUCACUUGCAAAACUGCUGGACAAAUUACACUGCUACUGCUGCAAAUGCAGGCGCCAAUGACCCCAGCAAAAUCAUUACAAAUGAGAAAAAAAAAAAGGUUAACUCCCACAACCCUCUAAAUACAUGUAAAUGCAGACAUCUAAGCCUUUUGUAAUUAUAAGAUAAUCUCGAAUCACAAUCACUAAUUCUCACAAUCAACUAAGCCACAAACAAAUUCCACACAAACUAACACUUAAAUCUAACUAAGCAUUUAAUCUAACUGUGAAGAACUCCUUAUCUCUCUUCAAAAUAAACAAAUAUGACAGCCAUUUGUGACACCCAAAGCAACAUAUUAAAAGUGCUAUUCUCUUACUUUACUUCGUCUGCUACCUAUCUCUCUCUCUGCAAUGUCAUCUUUUCAGCUUCCUUUUUGGGCUCUCCUGUUUCAUGAGCUAUGCGCUCUUUCCUCAACAAGAAAGGCCAAAAUGUUAACAACAACAAUAUGAGACAUGCUUAAUUGUAAGGCAUAACAGGAAAUGAAUUUGACACCUUAUUUAAGGAUGAGAAAUAAAGAUAAACUGUACAUCUAAACCCUAAACAACAAGCUUCUCUAUUUAAAGGAACAUUAAUGUUUCAUUUUAUGUGUACUUUCUUUCUUCCACCAUUAUACAUGUGCAUUGUUAAUUUAAGGCGCAAGUGUGUAGAAGUUUAAUUGACAUACAAAAUUCAAACAACUCUUAAGAUGAGGCCUCUGUACCAAAAAUCAUACAAUUUUAGCAAAAAUAAUAAUAAUCAUCUCAACUCCAACCAUUCACACCAAAACAGCCUGAAAUUCUUGAACUCAGCUUCUUUCUUCUUUCCUAUAGCUUUUCGGAAUAUAUUUAUCAUAUAAUCCCGUCUUAAAAUCUUCCCAAGUAUAACUUGCCCAUUGUUCAGGUGUCAGAAUUUUUCGACGUGCUUCCCACCAGAAGUCAGCUGAUCCUGUUAGUUGGAAAGAGACGCAAGAUAGGCGCUCCUCAUCAGUACAACGUAGAAAGUUGAAAAUGCGUUCCAUUGCACGCACCCAAAUCUCAGCUUCAGCUGGUUCACUCGUUCCGUCAAACGUAGGUGGAUUUUGCCUUAA
RNAcentral lists this long non-coding RNA (1169 nucleotides) under Salvia miltiorrhiza (redroot sage). Its description in RNAcentral is "long non-coding RNA (SMIL_LNC013245)". Lineage: Eukaryota; Viridiplantae; Streptophyta; Magnoliopsida; Lamiales; Lamiaceae. The record is from RNAcentral.